UACAGAGGUCUCAAGCGUUGUUCGGAUUCAUUGGGCGUAAAGGGUGCGUAGGCGGCGCUGUAAGUCAGGUGUGAAAUUUCGGAGCUUAACUCCGAACCUGCAUUUGAUACUGCGGUGCUUGAGGACUGGAGAGGAGACUGGAAUUCACGGUGUAGCAGUGAAAUGCGUAGAGAUCGUGAGGAAGACCAGUGGCGAAGGCGGGUCUCUGGACAGUUCCUGACACUGAGGCACGAAGGCCAGGGGAGCAAACAGG
This 253-nucleotide ribosomal RNA is filed under the name uncultured bacterium. Its description in RNAcentral is "partial 16S ribosomal RNA". It matches the Rfam family "Bacterial small subunit ribosomal RNA", at positions 524 to 776 of the family's 1533-position model. The record is from RNAcentral.